GACGAACGCUGGCGGCGUGCUUAACACAUGCAAGUCGAACGGAAAGGCCCUGCUUUUGUGGGGUGCUCGAGUGGCGAACGUGUGAGUAACACGUGAGUAACCUGCCCUUGACUUUGGGAUAACUUCAGGAAACUGCGGCUACUACCGGAUAGGAGCUCCUGCUGCAUGGUGGGGGUUGGAAAGUUUCGGCGGUUGGGGAUGGACUGGCGGCUUAUCAGCUUGUUGGUUGGGUAGUGGCUUACCAAGGCUUAGACGGGUAGGCGGCCUGGGAGGGGGAACGGGGACAUGGGGACUAAGAUACGGACCAGACGCCAACGGUAGGCAGCAGGGGGGAGUAUUGCACAAUGGGCGGAAGCCUGAUGCAGAAACGCCGCGUGCGGGAUGAAGGCUUUCGGGUUGUAAACCGCUUUAGCCUGUGACGAAGCGGGAGUGACGGUAAUGGGUAAAGAAGCACCGGCUAACUACGUG
This 468-nucleotide ribosomal RNA is filed under the name uncultured bacterium. RNAcentral's name for it is "partial 16S ribosomal RNA". It matches the Rfam family "Bacterial small subunit ribosomal RNA", at positions 28 to 507 of the family's 1533-position model. The record is from RNAcentral.